RNAcentral lists this ribosomal RNA (253 nucleotides) under uncultured bacterium. RNAcentral's name for it is "partial 16S ribosomal RNA". It matches the Rfam family "Bacterial small subunit ribosomal RNA", at positions 524 to 776 of the family's 1533-position model. The record is from RNAcentral.
UACGUAGGGUGCAAGCGUUGUCCGGAAUUAUUGGGCGUAAAGAGCUCGUAGGCGGUUUGUCGCGUCUGGUGUGAAAAUCCAGGGCUUAACCCUGGACCUGCAUCGGGUACGGGCAGACUAGAGUGCGGUAGGGGAGAUCGGAAUUCUUGGUGUAGCGGUGAAAUGCGCAGAUAUCAGGAGGAACACCGGUGGCGAAGGCGGAUCUCUGGGCCGUAACUGACGCUGAGGAGCGAAAGCAUGGGGAGCGAACAGG